AGAGUUUGAUCCUGGCUCAGGACGAACGCUGGCGGCGUGCUUAACACAUGCAAGUCGAACGAGAAGAGAUGAGAAGCUUGCUUCUUAUUGAUUCGAGUGGCAAACGGGUGAGUAACGCGUAAGCAACCUGCCCUCUAGAUGGGGACAACAGCUGGAAACGGCUGCUAAUACCGAAUACGUUUUUUCUGUCGCAUGGCAGAGAGAAGAAAGGGAGGCUCUUCGGAGCUUUCGCUGGAGGAGGGGCUUGCGUCUGAUUAGCUAGUUGGAGGGGUAACGGCCCACCAAGGCGACGAUCAGUAGCCGGUCUGAGAGGAUGAACGGCCACAUUGGGACUGAGACACGGCCCAGACUCCUACGGGAGGCAGCAGUGGGGAAUCUUCCGCAAUGGACGAAAGUCUGACGGAGCAACGCCGCGUGAACGAUGACGGCCUUCGGGUUGUAAAGUUCUGUUAUACGGGACGAAUGGUACGACGGUCAAUACCCGUCGUAAGUGACGGUACCGUAAGAGAAAGCCACGGCUAACUACGUGCCAGCAGCCGCGGUAAUACGUAGGUGGCAAGCGUUGUCCGGAAUUAUUGGGCGUAAAGGGCGCGCAGGCGGCGUUGUAAGUCGGUCUUAAAAGUGCGGGGCUUAACCCCGUGAGGGGACCGAAACUGCGAUGCUAGAGUAUCGGAGAGGAAAGCGGAAUUCCUAGUGUAGCGGUGAAAUGCGUAGAUAUUAGGAGGAACACCAGUGGCGAAAGCGGCUUUCUGGACGACAACUGACGCUGAGGCGCGAAAGCCAGGGGAGCAAACGGGAUUAGAUACCCUGGUAGUCCUGGCCGUAAACGAUGGAUACUAGGUGUAGGAGGUAUCGACCCCUUCUGUGCCGGAGUUAACGCAAUAAGUAUCCCGCCUGGGGAGUACGGCCGCAAGGCUGAAACUCAAAGGAAUUGACGGAAGGGCGAAUCGCGGCCG
Molecule: ribosomal RNA, 956 nt
Filed under: uncultured bacterium
Lineage: Bacteria
Description: bacterial SSU rRNA
Rfam family: Bacterial small subunit ribosomal RNA
Source: RNAcentral